AGAACGAACGCUGGCGGCAGGCUUAACACAUGCAAGUCGAGCGCCCCGCAAGGGGGAGCGGCAGACGGGUGAGUAACGCGUGGGAACAUACCCUCCGGUUCGGAAUAGCUCAGGGAAACUUGGAUUAAUACCGGAUACGGCCUAGCGGCGAAAGAUUGAUCGCCGGAGGAUUGGCCCGCGUCUGAUUAGCUAGUUGGUGGGGUAAUGGCCCACCAAGGCGACGAUCAGUAGCUGGUCUGAGAGGAUGAUCAGCCACAUUGGGACUGAGACACGGCCCAAACUCCUACGGGAGGCAGCAGUGGGGAAUAUUGGACAAUGGGCGCAAGCCUGAUCCAGCCAUGCCGCGUGAGUGAUGACGGCCUUAGGGUUGUAAAGCUCUUUCGCUAGGGACGAUAAUGACGGUACCUAGACAAGAAGCCCCGGCUAACUUCGUGCCAGCAGCCGC
Molecule: ribosomal RNA, 445 nt
Filed under: uncultured bacterium
Lineage: Bacteria
Description: SSU rRNA
Rfam family: Bacterial small subunit ribosomal RNA
Source: RNAcentral